GACGAACCGUGCGAACGUUGUUCGGAAUCACUGGGCUUAAAGGGCGCGUAGGCGGGCGAUCAAGUCAGGGGUGAAAGCCCCCGGCUCAACUGGGGAGGGUCAUUCGAUACUGAUCGACUCGAAGGCAGGAGAGGGAAGUGGAAUUCCCGGUGUAGUGGUGAAAUGCGUAGAUAUCGGGAGGAACACCAGUGGCGAAAGCGGCUUCCUGGUCCAGCACCGACGUUCAGGCACGAAAGCGUGGGGAGCAAACAGG
Molecule: ribosomal RNA, 253 nt
Filed under: uncultured bacterium
Lineage: Bacteria
Description: partial 16S ribosomal RNA
Rfam family: Bacterial small subunit ribosomal RNA
Source: RNAcentral